This 435-nucleotide ribosomal RNA is filed under the name uncultured bacterium. RNAcentral describes it as "partial 16S ribosomal RNA". It matches the Rfam family "Bacterial small subunit ribosomal RNA", at positions 29 to 507 of the family's 1533-position model. The record is from RNAcentral.
AGCGAACGCUGGCGGCAGGCUUAACACAUGCAAGUCGAGCGGGCACUUUCGGGUGUCAGCGGCGGACGGGUGAGUAACGCGUGGGAACGUGCCCUCUGGUUCGGAAUAACUCAGGGAAACUUGAGCUAAUACCGGAUACGCCCUUUUGGGGAAAGGCUUGCUGCCGGAGGAUCGGCCCGCGUGUGAUUAGCGAGUUGGUGAGGUAACGGCUCACCAAGGCGACGAUUAGUAGCUGGUCUGGGAGGAUGAUCAGCCACACUGGGACUGAGACACGGCCCAGACUCCUACGGGAGGCAGCAGUGGGGAAUAUUGGACGAUGGGCGCAAGCCUGAUCCAGCCAUGCCGCGUGAGUGAUGAAGGCCUUAGGGUUGUAAAGCUCUUUUAUCCGGGACGAUAAUGACGGUACCGGAGGAAUAAGCCCCGGCUAACUUCGUG